Long non-coding RNA from Oncorhynchus keta (chum salmon), 817 nucleotides. RefSeq lists it as uncharacterized. The transcript is spliced from 3 exons. The record is from RefSeq and is a predicted model, not a curated record. Lineage: Eukaryota; Metazoa; Chordata; Actinopteri; Salmoniformes; Salmonidae.
UUGCCCUGGAAGAGGUGGUCUCCACUGAUAUAUCCCUUAAACAAUGUAAUAUGGAGUCUCCUAUUGCCCUGGAAGAGGUUGUCUCCACUGAUAUAUCCCUUAAACAAUGUAAUAUGGAGUCUCCUAUUGCCCUGGAAGAGGUGGUCUCCACUGAUAUAUCCCUUAAACAAUGUAAUAUGGUGUCUCCUAUUGCCCUGGAAGAGGUGGUCUCCACUGAUAUAUCCCUUAAACAAUGUAAUAUGGAGUCUCCUAUUGCCCUGGAAGAGGUGGUCUCCACUGAUAUAUCCCUUAAACAAUGUAAUAUGGAGUCUCCUAUUGCCCUGGAAGAGGUGGUCUCCACUGAUAUAUCCCUUAAACAAUGUAAUAUGGAGUCUCCUAUUGCCCUGGAAGAGGUGGUCUCCACUGAUAUAUCCCUUAAACCAUGUAAUAUGGUGUCUCCUAUUGCCCUGGAAGAGGUUCUCUACUGAUAUAUCCCUUAAACCAUGUAAUAUGGUGUCUCCUAUUGCCCUGGAAGAGGUGGUCUCCACUGAUAUAUCCCUUAAACAAUGUAAUAUGGAGUCUCCUAUUGCCCUGGAAGAGGUGGUCUCCACUGAUAUAUCCCUUAAACCAUGUAAUAUGGUGUCUCCUAUUGCCCUGGAAGAGGUGGUCUCCACUGAUAUAUCCCUUAAACAAUGUAAUAUGGAGUCUCCUAUUGCCCUGGAAGAGGUGGUCUCCACUGAUAUAUCCCUUAAACAAUGUAAUAUGGAGUCUCCUAUUGCCCUGGAAGAGGUGGUCUCCACUGAUAUAUCCCUUAAACCAUGUAAUAUGGUGUCUCCUA